AGGGCUAUAGCUCAGUUGGUAGAGCAACUCGUUUACACGAGAAGGUCUACGGUUCGAGCCCGUAUAGCCCUA
RNAcentral lists this transfer RNA (72 nucleotides) under Primulina hedyotidea. RNAcentral describes it as "tRNA-Val". It matches the Rfam family "tRNA". From Rfam's summary of the family: Transfer RNA (tRNA) molecules are approximately 80 nucleotides in length. The record is from RNAcentral. Lineage: Eukaryota; Viridiplantae; Streptophyta; Magnoliopsida; Lamiales; Gesneriaceae.